GACAGAGGUGCCGAGCGUUAGGCGGAAUCACUGGGCUUAAAGCGUGUGUAGGCGGCCCGUUAAGUGCCUCGUGAAAUCCCCCGGCUCAACCCGGGGAACUGCCGGGCAUACUGGCGGGCUUGGGCCACUCAGGGGCAGACGGAACAGGCGGUGGAGCGGUGAAAUGCGUAGAUAUCGCCUGGAACGCCGAAGGUGAAAACAGUCUGCUGGGGUGUGCCGA
RNAcentral lists this ribosomal RNA (220 nucleotides) under uncultured bacterium. RNAcentral describes it as "partial 16S ribosomal RNA". It matches the Rfam family "Bacterial small subunit ribosomal RNA", at positions 524 to 743 of the family's 1533-position model. The record is from RNAcentral.